AAAUUGAAGAGUUUGAUCAUGGCUCAGAUUGAACGCUGGCGGCAGGCCUAACACAUGCAAGUCGAACGGUAACAGGAAGCAGCUUGCUGCUUCGCUGACGAGUGGCGGACGGGUGAGUAGUGUCUGGGAAACUGCCUGAUGGAGGGGGAUAACUACUGGAAACGGUAGCUAAUACCGCAUAAUGUCGCAAGACCAAAGAGGGGGACC
Molecule: ribosomal RNA, 207 nt
Filed under: Escherichia coli
Lineage: Bacteria; Pseudomonadati; Pseudomonadota; Gammaproteobacteria; Enterobacterales; Enterobacteriaceae
Description: partial 16S ribosomal RNA
Rfam family: Bacterial small subunit ribosomal RNA
Source: RNAcentral